UGAGGAAUAUUGGUCAAUGGGCGGGAGCCUGAACCAGCCAAGCCGCGUGAGGGAAGAAGGCCCUAUGGGUCGUAAACCUCUUUUGUCAGGGAACAAAAGCGAGUAUGUAUACUAGUCUGAGUGUACCUGAAGAAAAAGCAUCGGCUAACUCCGUGCCAGCAGCCGCGGUAAUACGGAGGAUGCGAGCGUUAUCCGGAUUUAUUGGGUUUAAAGGGUGCGUAGGCGGCGAUGCAAGUCAGCGGUAAAAGCCCGGGGCUCAACCCCGGCGAGCCGUUGAAACUGCAGUGCUAGAGAAGGCGAGAGGUACGCGGAAUGCGCAGUGUAGCGGUGAAAUGCUUAGAUAUUGCGCAGAACUCUGAUUGCGAAGGCAGCGUACUGGCGCCUGACUGACGCUGAGGCACGAAAGCGUGGGGAUCGAAACAGGAUUGAGAUACC
This 435-nucleotide ribosomal RNA is filed under the name uncultured bacterium. Its description in RNAcentral is "bacterial SSU rRNA". It matches the Rfam family "Bacterial small subunit ribosomal RNA", at positions 355 to 786 of the family's 1533-position model. The record is from RNAcentral.